GUGUUAUAUGAGAGGGAAGAAAGUUAGCAUUCCCUUUGAGAAGGACAGAAGAGACUUUUGAUCCUGAUAACAUACAUAUGGGUAAGGCAUUGCCAUCUACUUUGUGGCAUCUAAUCAUCAUUCAAU
This is a small nuclear RNA of Dipodomys ordii (Ord's kangaroo rat), 126 nucleotides long. Lineage: Eukaryota; Metazoa; Chordata; Mammalia; Rodentia; Heteromyidae. The record is from Ensembl.